CAGUAGACUAAGAAGGGGUACC
RNAcentral lists this non-coding RNA (22 nucleotides) under Rattus norvegicus (Norway rat). The record is from RNAcentral. Lineage: Eukaryota; Metazoa; Chordata; Mammalia; Rodentia; Muridae.